Molecule: long non-coding RNA, 4838 nt
Filed under: Sus scrofa (pig)
Lineage: Eukaryota; Metazoa; Chordata; Mammalia; Artiodactyla; Suidae
Description: lncRNA (ENSSSCG00035065318.1)
Source: RNAcentral
GGUGACCUCAGGAUAGUGACAAGCCUACACCGUGUGGUGCUGGCAAAGAAAAUUCCUGGAGAUGAAAACUGACGUGGGGUCCAGGGGUUAAUUUCUGGAACAGACAAAUUUGCAUACAAAUGAAAAAUGAUGGGAUUUCCGUUCUCCUAAAUUUUCAAUGUCAUCAGCAUCAAACAGCAGCCUUGCUCCCUUGCCGUUUGAAGAAUAUUCAUUACUUGAGAAGAAGGGGCACCUUGUUUGGUGUUCAACUCAAUGCAGGUCAAUGACUUAAUUUGUGAAACUUCAUCUGGAGGGAAUAUCCUUACUCUUGAAAGCCAGUGAUGUUUGUGGCACUGGAGACCAUAAGACGGCGAUGAUAAAGUAUUAUUCUGCCAGAGAGAAUGGUAAAGAAGAACCAGCAAGGAUGGCUGGAAUGAAAAAUGAAGUGGAGUUACUGGGACAGAUAGGAGGCAGUUUAUAGACAAAGACGUGAGAGAAGGAAAGCAAGGAACAGAAGAGAAGUUUCAAAAUAUGAAAUCAGCAAUCCACUAAACAUCCAAAAAGACGAAGGCCCUGGACUCAACAACUUUCCCUGAAUGUAAGUGAAAAGAUGCAUGUACUACCAGAAGCUGUGGCUGCCUGAAUUUUGAAACACUUUCAUCAGAACAACUCCAGUUCUGGCUCUGAAAAGACAAUGGGGUCAACUGUUGGAAGAGGGUAGUACUGCUCAUUUCUCCAGAAAAAAAUCUGAUCACACAUUAAAACAUUAUUGUCAAAAUAAGAGCCUGAAAAAGUCGUUCCAUUAAAAUGGAAACACUACAAGAAAAAGUGGCCUUGACUCAAUUGAAGAAGGGUGUGCUGGAGUCCACCUCACCUUCACUCUAAGGAAUCUAUUGCUUCAGCCAUUUGAAAAAUGACUGUUAUAUUCACUACCCAUUUUUUUGUUGUUGUCUUUUUUUAGGGCCACACCCACGGCAUACGGAAGUUCCCAGGCUAGGGGUUGAAUAGGAGCUGCAACUCCCUGCCUAUACCACAGCCACAGCAAGGCCAGAUCUGAGCUGAGUCUUCAACCCUCACCAGAGCCCAUGGCAAUGCCAGAUCCUUAACCCACUGAGCAAGUCCAGGACUGAACCUGUGUCCUCAUGGAUACUAGUUGGCUUAGUUACCCCUGAGUCACAAUGGGAAUUCCACUAUUGAUUUUCUUAUUAACAGUUCAUCCAUUUGUAUUAAGCUCUGUGUAUUUCCAAAGUGGUUUUGCCUAAACUGAGGCAUUUAGAUUAGAUUUUUAAUCUUCAUAUUAUAAAUUUAAAAGGGAAAAAUCUUUAGAACAUUAUUAAAAUCUCAAAGAUAUGAAAACAGCUAGAAGAAAUUCAGUCAAAUUCCCAAGAUGCUAUGUUCUUGGUUUCCCAAAGAUUGAACUUUCAUUUCUUUUGUGGAUUGAGAAUGUGUCAUAAUGACAGAUAUGCCUGGCACACGGUGUUACUCAAUAAAUAUAUGUUAAACUAAACCUAAUAUUCCCAUUAUAAUGAAGUCAAAUAGAAAUAGAUUUUAAUUUUAAAUCUCUCAUGUAAUUACUCUUUUUUAGCUUUUUUUUUUUGUCUUUUUUUUUUUGCCUUUCCUAGGACCGCUCCCACAGCAUAUGGAGGUUCCCAGGCUAGGGGUCUAAUCGGAGCUGGAGCCACCGGCCUACACCAGAGCCACAGCAACACAGGAUCCGAGCCACGUCUGCAACCUACACCACAGCUCACAGCAACACCAGAUCCUUAAUCCACUGAGCAAGGCCAGGGUCGAACCUAUAUCCUCAUGGAUGCUAGUCAGAUUCCUUUCCUCUGAGCCAUGAGGGGAGCUCCAGGAAUAACAAUUCUUAUCUUGUACUGCAUCAGUGGUAUGCUAGUAAAUGUUUAACUUGACCAUUCUCUCCCCUCCCCCCACUCCCCACCCCCCAUAAAAAGGGCCUGGUGUGUAGAUUUUGCCAGUUUCCAUGGUGUAAGUACUCCCACCAUUGACAAUUUCAAGCUUCCAACAUGACAUCACUGAAUACUAGGCUGGUAAGGGCUGUGAAUAAUCGACUCCUAUGAGCUAAUAGAAGCUGAUUCCAGCACACCACUGAAUGACUUUAACUUUAUGGUUUGAUUUCAAGGAAUUGCUCUUCUGUGUUACUAUAAUUUGUGACACUAAGGCUAUCUUAAGAUGUAGUAGUACAGUGGAGAUAUUGAUGCCAGACUGUUGGACCCCUUGUAUGCUGUGAUGCUUCCAUUUCCUGACUGCUGUGGGUGUGGGCGGAUAACCAUUCGUAGCUGUCCCUUCUCUGCCAAAUUGCCCUUGACUGGGAGGUGCCUUACCCAGGAAGUCUACAUACCCACCUUCAACACUGCCUCUCUUAUGAUGGACUAUAGACAGUGACUGUCUGACAGGGGUAAAACACUGGUGUCCUUUUGCCUCAAACUGUGACCAACUCGGUGGUACCAUUUGUGCUCCAGAACUUCUUGUGGGAACAAAACAAGCCAAGACCACAUCCAUUCUUUGUUCCUUCCCCUGCCUUCUCCAGUCUCCCUCAGUCCCAUGGGUCUGGGAAUUUAGAGGUGGAUGUAGGAACAGUCCUCCUUUUUAUUAUAUAGAAUAACCCGCUUGGUGAAUCUCUGCUUCCUGUCUCUGAAACUUUGGGCUCUGUAGUGCUUGAGGUCCUAGUUCUCAGACGAGGAUGCUUCCAUCAGGGAUCGCAGUAAAACCCAAUAAAACUCAGUCACCACUGUCAUUUCACUUUGGGCUCUCCUUAUAACUGAUCAUAAUUAUCAUAAAAAUGUAGGGCUGCUGGUACACAGUAAUAAAGAGGUGUGCCUCUCCUUCCCAUUGUCAUGUGUACUUGUGAAGAGCAAGUACAACAACCACAGCUUGAGAAGGACAUGGAACUAGAGCCCAGAGAUGAGGGCCUGGAUCAAACUACCAGGCAAGCCCCUAGGACCAAUCAGAGUGCUCACUAAAGGAGGCAAGAGUCUAAGGUCGAUGAAAAGGUGGGAGAGGCCAAAUAUUAGUGACUGCCUCAGGGUCAAGUGCUGUAGCCAGGGCAGUAGUUUGUCCCACUAACCAACCUUUUUUAAGUUUUCCUGGAAAUUCUGACCAGAAUCCUGAAGAAGCUGUGCCUAGAUGAAAAUGCUUUUAUCCUAGGCCAUUCCAUUGCCUAAGGCAAAAGAUUUUAUGUUUUCCUCUGCACUGUGGUCUCUGUUUUUUGAUAGACCGCUAACAAUUAUUCAGUCCAAAUUUGGAGUAUGUGAGUGCAUGCAUGAGUGCUUGCACGUGUGUGUCUGUAUGUUUUGAACAUGGUGAUAUUUGCAACCUUGAAAACCAUUCAGUAAUAACCAAGGUUGCUAGAGUAGGUCAUGAAUCAUGCCAGCUGGCUCUCCUGCAGAUUCAUACCAUCCAACCUCAGCUGGGCUCUCAUAUGCUGUGCUGCUCUGUAAUCUCUUUGCCUCUGUUUUUUUCCCUAUUGUAUUUCUCACAGCUGCUCUUCCAUACCCUCUCCCUUCAUCCUGAAUCCAGAAAAAUAUUCCUGUACAUUUCAUACCAGCAGAUGACUCAGAACAUGCUCUAGUGAUUGAAGGUACCCAGUCCCAACUCUAAUGUCUUCAUCCUCAUUUGGCUUUGGGGAUGAUGUUCUCUUGUGGGUCUGUCUUUCCAUUGCUCACUCCUACUCUUUUCUCAUCCUUCAAAUAGGGCUUUCCUGUAGUGCUCUUUGGUUACCAUAACCAUCAUAACAAUAAACCGGGAACAAAACACAUCAACAUCCUCUUAUCUAUUCUGUCAAUUAGGUGUUCACAAGUUUUCUCUUGCAAAUCUGCACUUGAUUAGCAUUGCCUAGCUCAGAACUUCAUUUUCCCCCUUCUAGGCAGCAGUAGCCAUCAAUAUCUCUCUUUUGUAUGUCCAUCAAAAUAAUCUUUCCAAAGCCUAGACUUGAGUCAUUUGUCCUACACAGACUUUCUUUUUGUUUUUACUUUUUAUUGCAAAUAAAUUAUUUUGUAUUUUACUGUGAAUAUAAUAUUUUAUAUUGUGAAAGAUAGCCAUACCAGAAGAAUGUAUAUAAUAUAUAAGUAGAAUUUACAAAAAGAAUAAAAUUAUCACUGCUUAUAAUUCAGCCUAAAAAAUAAGAUAUUAUCUUUGUAUUUAUAAGCCUAUGUUUUAUAAGUUUCUACUCAGUUGAGGCCCCUUCCUCUCCUAAACAUAACUGCUAUCCUGAAUUAUGUUAAUUAUUUCCUUGUUUUCCUUAAAGUUUAUCAUAUAUGUCUAUGUACUAAGCUGUAUAGGGAUUAUACAUGGAUAUAUUUAUAAAAAUAUGAAUCAGCAUUAUUUUGUUUUGCCUUUUUUGUACUUUAUGUAAAAGGAAUCAUAAUGUGUUGCUCUGUGACGUGAUGUUAUGUUUUAAAGAUCCAUUUAUGUUGAUGAUUUAUCAGUAAUUUGUGUUUCACUGUUGCAUAGGACUGUAUUCCUAUGCAACAGCAAAUAUUCAAUUAUAACAUACACCUGAAACUCAUGCAAUGUUAUUUAUCAAUUUUAUCUCAACAAAAAUAAUGCAUUUCAAUUUUUUAAUUCUACUAUUAUUAGAUACUUGGAUUGAUUUUUUGCUACCAAAAAAUGGGUUGCUGUGGACCAGAAGUUUGGGGUUAGUAGAUGCAAACUGUUGCAUUUGGAGUGGAUAAGCAAUGAGAUCCUGCUGUAUAGCACAGGGAAAUAUAUCUAGUCACUUGUGAUGGUACAUGAUGGAGGAUAAUGAGAGAAAAAAAUUAUUUUUCUUUGCUGUACAGCAGAAAUUGACAGAACAUUGUAAAUCAACUGUAAUAGAAAAAAUAAAAAUCUUGAAAAAAAAA